UGACUGUGAAAAUGAACAGUUCUUUUUUACCUUUUAUUCCUUGAAAAUAUACGUCAAUUUUUGAAUAUAAGUGGCAAUUCUUGGAAAGCUGCCACAAACCAAGGAUGUUGGGAGUGGGGAUCAGGGCUUUUUGCCAAGAACAAGGGGAGAAGUUCCCUCUUGAUUUAAAAGCCUGCAAAAUUUGGACUAGAAAUUUACAUAUUCUUAAUUUUAGUCCUUCCGGCUUCUCCCAAACACUUUCAAAAGCCAAACCUUUCCUAAAGAAAUUUUGCAAUCGAGUUCAAUCGAGAUAAAAAUUUUAAUAAAUUGUUGUGGAAGCACAGUUUGAGUUUGAGCGAGUUUGACAAGUCUCCAGCGGAGAAGGCAAGCAGAAUGUGUACCAGGUGAUACUGUUUAUUUAAAACCGUUUGCUAUUUGAAAUUUUCGCUAACCUAACCAGAAAAAAAUUCAGCCUCUUGUCCCUCGACGUCUGUGACAAACAAUGGCUUCAACGAAAGACGACAUUGCCCAUGAAGACCGAAAGGUAUUUUAUGAUUUCUACAACUACUUUUAUUUAUACAUUGCAUUGCAGCUGUUUCCCUCUACACUACUCACUACACUAGAUGAUGCUUUCUGUAUAUUUUUACGAUGAUAUGGGCGGUCGUUUAUGCCAUAUAGAAAUAUUUUAUAGAUUUUAUAUUAUAGCACAGAAUUUAUAAAUGACAUGGCCAGAAAGGAGAGCUUUCUGUGUGGGCAGUGUGAGUAUUAACAGCGAGGAUCGGACAUCAUUGAACCGCCGGUAAAGUGGUGCAAACGCUAAGUUUUGACCAUGUUUAUGACCUUGAUUUAUGUAACGGUUGGAGAUAUUGCUAAUCGCAUCUUUGAGUGUUAUUUCAGUAAUAUAAAUAUAGCUGAGUAAGCCUCCUUGAGUGUACCUAACAACGCAUUUCAAGAACAAUGGCUUGGAGUUCUUUGAUGGCGUCAAGCCAGUGUUACAAACCAAAUCAUGAUGUUGGGAAGUUAUCACAUUAAAAUUUUAUCAAAAUGGGAGUGAAUGCAAUUUCCUUAAAUUUUUUUAAAAUUGAUAACUAUUGCCUUGAAAAAGGAGCUUUAUUUUGCGUACGACGGUCGAUUUUUACCGCGGUAAGUUAGCCUAAACAACGUGUUUGGCAAAGCAAACAGUUCAUGUUAUAUGUCGUUGUUUUUGUCCCAUAUGCCAAGUGGCAUUUUCCAUCUUUUCCGCUCCAGACUUUAUAAUUGCGCUAUUGAUUUACCUGAAUUGUAAUGUCAAAAGAUUAAAAGGUCCAUACUGUGCAAAAACUAUACAAAAUUAUUAAACAAUAUUAUAGAUCACUGUGAAUUUUUAUUCCGACAGAUCGGCGCUGGUUUAUUUGAUCAAAGAUGAGAAAGUCAAAGCUUGCACUUUUAGAGCGGGCUUUAUUAAUGACAUGAACCAUUGUGUGUUCUAAUUAAAUCGUUUUAACUAAACAGGAUCAAUAUAGCAAGGUUACAAGGUUAUAUGCACUAGCUAUAUACUGAUUAGAAUGUAAAACUGAGCAACAUACAUUGUAUAAGUUAUACAUUGUAUAAACUGAGCAACAAAUAUAAGACACUGAGGUAUUUUUAAACAAGUGGACCUCCUAGAUGAUAAAUUAAUCUUCUGUC
Non-coding RNA from Paramuricea clavata, 1644 nucleotides. The record is from the annotation of a GenBank genome assembly. NCBI's taxonomy places the organism in Eukaryota, Metazoa, Cnidaria, Anthozoa, Malacalcyonacea, Plexauridae.